UUACCAGACUCCUACGGGAGGCAGCAGUGGGGAAUAUUGCACAAUGGGGGGAACCCUGAUGCAGCGACGCCGCGUGGGUGAAGGAGCACCUCGGUGCGUAAAGCCCUAUCGGCAGGGAAGAAACAGACGGUACCUGACUAAGAAGCCCCGGCUAACUACGUGCCAGCAGCCGCGGUAAUACGUAGGGGGCAAGCGUUAUCCGGAUUCACUGGGCGUAAAGGGAGCGCAGGCGGCACGGCAAGUCUGAUGUGAAAACCCGGGGCUCAACCCCGGGACUGCAUUGGAAACUGCCGGGCUGGAGUGUCGGAGGGGUAAGCGGAAUUCCUGGUGUAGCGGUGAAAUGCGUAGAUAUCAGGAGGAACACCGGUGGCGAAGGCGGCUUACUGGACGACAACUGACGCUGAGGCUCGAAAGCGUGGGGAGCAAACAGGAUUAGAUACCCGCGUA
This 447-nucleotide ribosomal RNA is filed under the name uncultured bacterium. RNAcentral describes it as "partial 16S ribosomal RNA". It matches the Rfam family "Bacterial small subunit ribosomal RNA", at positions 328 to 792 of the family's 1533-position model. The record is from RNAcentral.